Molecule: ribosomal RNA, 1692 nt
Filed under: Triticum aestivum (bread wheat)
Lineage: Eukaryota; Viridiplantae; Streptophyta; Magnoliopsida; Poales; Poaceae
Description: partial small subunit ribosomal RNA
Source: RNAcentral
AUGCUCUCCUCCAUGCCGAGAUCCGGGUCCUUCGAGGCGGGGCUCAGGGCGUCUUCGUCCGUUACACUCUCCUCCCCCUCCAAGCCGUCCCCUCGGUUCCACCGGAGCCGCUCCACCGCCGGCAGCUCCAAGGCGCCCCCCUCCCCGGAGAAACGUCGCGGCGUCACCGGCGGCGGAGGCACGAUGCCGACGCCGACGCCGGCGCAGCAGCGGGUGGCGCAGCUGGAGGAAGAGCUCAAGAAGGAGCGGGGUGAGAAUUAUCGGGUGGUGCAGCUCGAGGAGGAGCUGAGGACAGAGCGGGAGGACAAGGCGCGGGCGGUGCGGGAGCUCGACGAGCUUAUGAGGAAGGACGACGGAAGGGGCGGCGCCGAGAAGGUGCAGCUUCUGGAGCGGGAGGUGGAGAGGGCCAAGGAGUCGGAGCGCAAGAUGCUCGAGUCGCUCAUAUACCAGACCAAGCAGCUGGAGCAGACCAAGAUCAGCCUCGAGGAGGCCAAGCUGGAGAUGGCCACGCUGCAGCAGAGCAACCGGAGCCUCGAGGCCCGGCGCGGCGUCAUGGACCAGCGGAGCGUCAAGGACCUCAUGUUCGGCGGCGCCGACGAGGAGAUCAGGGCCCUGCGCGCCGACCUCCGGGCGGCCAUGCAGGGGGAGGAGAGGAGCCGGAAGGCGCUGGACGACCUGUCCCUCGCGCUCUCCGACGUCACCAUGGAGGCCAAGCAGGUCAAGCGCUGGCUCUCCGACACGCAGGCGGAGCUGGAGGCCGCCAAUGCCGAGGCCGCGCGGCUGCGCGGGGAGCUCGCCGCCGCCGAGACGCGGCUGCGGGAGCAGCACCGGUGCAGGCUCGAGGCCGAGGAGUCGGCGGCCGCGUGGGGCGACAAGGAGCGCGUCUUCCUCGAGUGCGUGCGCGCCGCCGAGGAGGAGGUGAACCUGGCCCGGCAGGAGAACACCAAGCUGGUGGAGUCGCAGCGCGUGAUCCGCGACGAGAACGCCCGCCUCCGCGACAUCCUCAAGCAGGCCGUCGGCGAGGCCAACGUCGUCAAGGAGUCGCUGGAGCUCGCCCGGGUCGAGAACGCGCGGCUCAACGACGUCGUCGCCGAGAAGGAGGGCGCGCUGCAGAACCUCCGGCAGGAGCACGAGUGCAUCAAGGUCAGCGAGGCCGCCGCGCAGGGCAGCCUCAAGGAGCUCAACAGCCUGCUCGCCGCCACGACGACGACGGCGUGCAGCACUCCCGUGUCCUCGGCCACGACCGCGCCCGUGGCGCCGGAGUGCGGCUUUGACCAGCGGCACCUGCCCAACGGGCGCCUCGUCGCCAGCGCCAAGGGGACGCCGGAGACGGGGUCGCGGCGCUGGAUGGCGGAGAAGCCCAGGACGCCGAGCGGGCGGAGCUACUCGAUCGGCGAGCCGGCCAAGUUCAAAGGCGUGGGCUACUCGCAGUCGGCGAGGAUGGGGAGCCUGAACCCCAAGGACCGGAUGUUCGCGUCGCUCAGCAACAUGGCCGACCUCAAGUCCGCGGCGGCGGACGCGGCCAUGGACGACUACGACGACGACGAGUUCGACCACAUCGACGAGAGCCACUACGUGGGCAUGGAGCACUCCAUGAACGGCAAGAAGAAGCGGCCGAUCCUUCGCAAGUUCGGGGAUCUCUUCAGGAGGAAAAGCUUCUACAAGGCGAAUUUGGCGCCAGUGCACACUUGA